RNAcentral lists this ribosomal RNA (253 nucleotides) under uncultured bacterium. Its description in RNAcentral is "partial 16S ribosomal RNA". It matches the Rfam family "Bacterial small subunit ribosomal RNA", at positions 524 to 776 of the family's 1533-position model. The record is from RNAcentral.
UACGUAGGGGGCUAGCGUUGUCCGGAUUUAUUGGGCGUAAAGAGCGUGUAGGCGGCCAACUAAGUCAGACGUGAAAUCCCUCAGCUUAACUGGGGAACUGCGUCUGAGACUGAUUGGCUCGAGGACAGGAGAGGAACGCGGAAUUCCAGGUGUAGCGGUGAAAUGCGUAGAUAUCUGGAGGAACACCGGUGGCGAAGGCGGCGUUCUGGACUGUUUCCGACACUGAAUAACGAAAGCCAGGGGAGCAAACGGG